This 468-nucleotide ribosomal RNA is filed under the name uncultured bacterium. RNAcentral describes it as "partial 16S ribosomal RNA". It matches the Rfam family "Bacterial small subunit ribosomal RNA", at positions 28 to 507 of the family's 1533-position model. The record is from RNAcentral.
GACGAACGCUGGCGGCGUGCUUAACACAUGCAAGUCGAACGGAAAGGCCCUGCUUUUGUGGGGUGCUCGAGUGGCGAACGGGUGAGUAACACGUGAGUAACCUGCCCUUGACUUUGGGAUAACUUCAGGAAACUGGGGCUAAUACCGGAUAGGAGCUCCUGCUGCAUGGUGGGGGUUGGAAAGUUUCGGCGGUUGGGGAUGGACUCGCGGCUUAUCAGCUUGUUGGUGGGGUAGUGGCUUACCAAGGCUUUGACGGGUAGCCGGCAUGAGAGGGUGACCGGCCACAUUGGGACUAAGAUACGGCGCAGACUCCUAUGGGAGGCAGCGGUGGGGAAUAUUGCGCAAUGGGCGGAAGCCAGAUGCAGCAACGCCGCGUGCGGGAUGACGUCCUUCGAGUUGUAAACCGCUUUCGCCGGUGACGAAGCGUGAGUGACGGUAAUGGGUAAAGAAGCACCGGCUAACUACGUG